This 253-nucleotide ribosomal RNA is filed under the name uncultured bacterium. RNAcentral's name for it is "partial 16S ribosomal RNA". It matches the Rfam family "Bacterial small subunit ribosomal RNA", at positions 524 to 776 of the family's 1533-position model. The record is from RNAcentral.
UACGUAGGUGGCGAGCGUUAUCCGGAGUUACUGGGCGUAAAGCGCGGGCAGGCGGUCUUGCCAGUCUGAUGUGAAAUCUCCUCGCUCAACGGGGAGCAGCCAUUGGAAACUACAAGACUGGAGUCUGACAGAGGUAGGCGGAAUUCCGGGUGGAGUGGUGAAAUGCGUAGAGAUCCGGAGGAACACCAGAGGCGAAGGCGGCCUACUGGGUCAGUACUGACGCUGAGCCGCGAAAGCCAGGGGAGCGAACGGG